CUCCCAUUAAUAGCACAACCGCACAUACCCUUAACCAAUCAAUGAACAGAGUCUGGACUUGCUCAUCCGGUCAGACCACAUGGCUCAUCCAAAACAAAGGAGAAAGGAGUGUGAUUUCAGUUCCUACAUUCCUGCACAUGCUCAGUACAUUGAUGACAGUAUCAUAGCUACAUGUAACUAACUAACAGAUACAACAAACACCUGUACUUGUAUAUGCCACAUGGAGAUUUCAGGCCUACUAAAUUUUGAACCAUGUUGAAAUCCCAUCACACUAACAUGGAUAGUCAGUAGAAGCAUGGUGGAUUUUAAGGCAGUGUACCAAAGAGAGUAAGAGAAAAGCAUAGACAAAUGUUCCUCAGGUCAGGAUAAACAGCACAGGUUCAGUAAUGGUAUACAAGCAUUAGGGUCAAAUAAACAAGUAUGCAGUUAAAAGCCGGGAAACAAAUAGCAGGCUACGGCUAGCUCUGUAACUUCGAAGCACUGUAGCCUGAGGUUAGAGGGGAUUUAUUGUGGCUAUCGCAGAAGUAAUGUCAGAGGUGCAACUUGCACAAUGGACCAAAGAUUUGUGUUGCUAGAAUGAUGCAAUGCAUGUGUCUGCUCUGUUACAUUUGUUGGCAUUGACAACUCACCAUAAAAGGCAGGCUGGUUUUGAAAAUAACCAAGAGCAGACUAGAAUGUGGGUGUUUUUAUGACACACACGG
Pelobates cultripes (western spadefoot toad) is the source of this 701-nucleotide non-coding RNA. The record is from the annotation of a GenBank genome assembly. Lineage: Eukaryota; Metazoa; Chordata; Amphibia; Anura; Pelobatidae.